This 170-nucleotide small RNA is filed under the name Oryza sativa Japonica Group (Japanese rice). RNAcentral describes it as "sRNA Os05g0302833". The record is from RNAcentral. Lineage: Eukaryota; Viridiplantae; Streptophyta; Magnoliopsida; Poales; Poaceae.
GCAAGGGCGGCGUAGGCCACCGGCGAAGAAGCAGCCGAGGCCAUCGGCGAGGGCGGCGUAGGCGGAGGUGAGGCUGCGCAUGGCGUCGGGGGCCUCCUAGUAGAGGAACUCGAGGAGGGCGAUGAGGCAGAAGCCCUCGGCGAGACCGUUGGACACCGAUUGCCGGUGCC